This 705-nucleotide ribosomal RNA is filed under the name Marinovum sp. RNAcentral's name for it is "bacterial SSU rRNA". It matches the Rfam family "Bacterial small subunit ribosomal RNA", at positions 43 to 794 of the family's 1533-position model. The record is from RNAcentral. Lineage: Bacteria; Pseudomonadati; Pseudomonadota; Alphaproteobacteria; Rhodobacterales; Roseobacteraceae.
CGGGGCCUACACAUGCAAGUCGAGCGAGCUCUUCGGAGCUAGCGGCGGACGGGUUAGUAACGCGUGGGAACGUGCCCUUCACUGCGGAAUAGCCACUGGAAACGGUGAGUAAUACCGCAUACGCCCUUCGGGGGAAAGAUUUAUCGGUGAAGGAUCGGCCCGCGUUAGAUUAGAUAGUUGGUGGGGUAACGGCCUACCAAGUCUACGAUCUAUAGCUGGUUUUAGAGGAUGAUCAGCAACACUGGGACUGAGACACGGCCCAGACUCCUACGGGAGGCAGCAGUGGGGAAUCUUGGACAAUGGGCGCAAGCCUGAUCCAGCCAUGCCGCGUGAGUGAUGAAGGCCUUAGGGUCGUAAAGCUCUUUCGCCAGAGAUGAUAAUGACAGUAUCUGGUAAAGAAACCCCGGCUAACUCCGUGCCAGCAGCCGCGGUAAUACGGAGGGGGUUAGCGUUGUUCGGAAUUACUGGGCGUAAAGCGCACGUAGGCGGAUCAGAAAGUUGGGGGUGAAAUCCCGGGGCUCAACCCCGGAACUGCCUCCAAAACUCCUGGUCUUGAGUUCGAGAGAGGUGAGUGGAAUUCCGAGUGUAGAGGUGAAAUUCGUAGAUAUUCGGAGGAACACCAGUGGCGAAGGCGGCUCACUGGCUCGAUACUGACGCUGAGGUGCGAAAGUGUGGGGAGCAAACAGGAUUAGAUACCCUGGUAGU